AUUGAACGCUGGCGGCAGGCCUAACACAUGCCAGUCGAGCGGAGCGGCGGACGGGUGAGUAAUGCCUGGGAAUCUGCCUAGUAGUGGGGGAUACCGUCCGGAAACGGGCGCUAAUACCCCAUACUAUCAGCUUAGCCUAGGUCGGAUUAGCUAGUUGGUGGGGAAAAGGCCUACCAAGGCGACGAUCCGUAACUGGACUGAGAGGAUGAUCAGUCAAACGGGAACUGAGAAACGGUCCAGACUCCUACGGGAGGAAGCAGGGGGGAAUAUUGGACAAUGGGCGAAAGCCGUAACCAGCCAUUCCGGGUGUGGGAAGAAGGUCUUCGGAUUGUAAAGCACUUUAAGUUGGGAGGCGUUACCAACAAAAUAAUAACGGGCUAACUCCGUGCCAGCAGCCGCGGUAAUU
RNAcentral lists this ribosomal RNA (406 nucleotides) under uncultured bacterium. RNAcentral's name for it is "partial 16S ribosomal RNA". It matches the Rfam family "Bacterial small subunit ribosomal RNA", at positions 30 to 525 of the family's 1533-position model. The record is from RNAcentral.